GUUUAUAAUUAUUUUCACAAGCAGUAAGUCUGCUAUGUGCUUGCUUUACUUUUGUUUAUUUAUUUUUUUAAGAAUUACCUGCCAGGUUGGUCCUCGAUACUUUUCAUGUGUAUGGUUCUUUCUCAUCUUAUAGCUUUGAUUCUGCUGAUGUUGCUUCUAAGUGACUUUCUUUCACUGUUCCAUGUUUGUCAUGUUCUUGGUCUUUCUCCCAGGGACCUGGCAAUUCAAGAGUCAA
This 235-nucleotide unclassified non-coding RNA is filed under the name Hevea brasiliensis (rubber tree). Lineage: Eukaryota; Viridiplantae; Streptophyta; Magnoliopsida; Malpighiales; Euphorbiaceae. The record is from RNAcentral.